UACGUAGGGACCUAGCGUUGUCCGGAAUCAUUGGGCGUAAAGCGCGCGUAGGCGGCCCGGUAAGUCCGUUGUAAAAGUCGAAGGCUCAACCUUCGAAAGCCGAUGGAUACUGCCGGGCUAGAGUACGGAAGAGGCGAGUAGAAUUCCUGGUGUAGCGGUGGAAUGCGCAGAUAUCAGGAGGAAUACCCAUAGCGAAGGCAGCUCGCUGAGACGUUACUGACGCUGAGGCGCGAAAGCGUGGGGAGCGAACAGG
Molecule: ribosomal RNA, 253 nt
Filed under: uncultured bacterium
Lineage: Bacteria
Description: partial 16S ribosomal RNA
Rfam family: Bacterial small subunit ribosomal RNA
Source: RNAcentral